UACGUAGGGUGCAAGCGUUGUCCGGAAUUAUUGGGCGUAAAGAGCUCGUAGGCGGUUUGUCGCGUCGGCUGUGAAAACUCGGGGCUCAACCCCGAGCCUGCAGUCGAUACGGGCAGACUAGAGUGCGGUAGGGGAGUGGGGAAUUCCUGGUGUAGCGGUGAAAUGCGCAGAUAUCAGGAGGAACACCGGUGGCGAAGGCGCCACUCUGGGCCGAAACUGACGCUGAGGAGCGAAAGCGUGGGUAGCAAACCGG
This 253-nucleotide ribosomal RNA is filed under the name uncultured bacterium. Its description in RNAcentral is "partial 16S ribosomal RNA". It matches the Rfam family "Bacterial small subunit ribosomal RNA", at positions 524 to 776 of the family's 1533-position model. The record is from RNAcentral.